GACGAACGCUGGCGGCGUGCUUAACACAUGCAAGUCGAACGGAAAGGCCCUGCUUUUGUGGGGUGCUCGAGUGGCGAACGGGUGAGUAACACGUGAGUAACCUGCCCUUGACUUUGGGAUAACUUCAGGAAACUGGGGCUAAUACCGGAUAGGAGCUCCUUCUUCAUGGUGGGGGUUGGAACGUUUCGGCGGUUGGGGAUGUACUCGCGGCUUAUCAGCUUGUUGUUGGGGUAGUGGCUUACCAAGGCUUUGACGGGUAGCCGGCCUGAGAGGGUGACCGGCCACAUUGGGACUGAGAUACGGCCCAGACUACUAAGGGAGGCAGCAGUGGGGAAUAUUGCACAAUGGGCGGAAGCCUGAUGCAGCAACGCCGCGUGAGGGAUGACGGACUUCGGGUUGUAAACCGCUUUCGCCUGUGACGAAGCGUGAGUGAAGGUAAUGGGUAAAGAAGCACCGGCUAACUACGUG
RNAcentral lists this ribosomal RNA (468 nucleotides) under uncultured bacterium. RNAcentral describes it as "partial 16S ribosomal RNA". It matches the Rfam family "Bacterial small subunit ribosomal RNA", at positions 28 to 507 of the family's 1533-position model. The record is from RNAcentral.